Molecule: ribosomal RNA, 452 nt
Filed under: uncultured bacterium
Lineage: Bacteria
Description: bacterial SSU rRNA
Rfam family: Bacterial small subunit ribosomal RNA
Source: RNAcentral
AGCGAACGCUGGCGGCAGGCUUAACACAUGCAAGUCGAGCGGGCGUAGCAAUACGUCAGCGGCAGACGGGUGAGUAACGCGUGGGAACGUACCUUUUGGUUCGGAACAACCCAGGGAAACUUGGGCUAAUACCGGAUAAGCCCUUACGGGGAAAGAUUUAUCGCCAAAAGAUCGGCCCGCGUCUGAUUAGCUUGUUGGUGAGGUAACGGCUCACCAAGGCGACGAUCAGUAGCUGGUCUGAGAGGAUGAUCAGCCACAUUGGGACUGAGACACGGCCCAAACUCCUACGGGAGGCAGCAGUGGGGAAUAUUGGACAAUGGGCGCAAGCCUGAUCCAGCCAUGCCGCGUGAGUGAUGAGGCCCUAGGGUUGUAAAGCUCUUUUGUGCGGGAAGAUAAUGACUGUACCGCAAGAAUAAGCCCCGGCCUAACUUCGUGCCAGCAGCCGCGGUAAG